UUUGAGUUAUCUUUUGCAUACAGUGUGAGGUAGGAGUCCAGAUUCAUUCUUUCACAUGUGGAAACCCAGUUGUCCCAGGAAUAAACAGUUAUUCCUGAAGUAUUUAUUCAACAUUCAUUCAGAUGGAGGUAUGUAGAGGGAGGGUAGAUGACUGGGCCUGUGCUAACAGCACUGGACCUCUCUUUUCUGUCCUCAGCAAGGUUUCUCUGCCCAGACAUGCAGGAUUUCUUCAGCAAAGCAAAAGCCCUGCAGAUUACCAGAUCCAUCCUCUCCUAAAGCCAGGGGGACCAUGAGACAUUAGUACCUGAGCAUUACCUCUCUCCAAGUGAUUUAUCAAAGCUUUAUUUCCAAUCACAUACUGAGUUUUGAUAAAACAGUUUUAUUCUUUGGUUUUCUUCUUCUCCUUUUAUUUCCUGUGUGUUUUGAGGCCUCAGCAGUUGAGCUGGUUCACCUUGGAAUCUGACUCUGACAAGCAAAAGGAAGCAGAGUUUGAUCACCUUUCCAGGUAAUACAAGAGUAUUCCUGUAAAGUGAGCCUCUGAAGCUUUGGAGGGGAAGUGUAUUAGUCUGUUUUGCGUUGCUACAAAGGAAUACCUGAGACUGGGUGAUUUAUAAAGAGAAGAGGUUUAUUUGGCCUAUGGUUCUGCAAGCUGUACAAGAAGCAUGGUGCCAACAUCUGCUUCUCGUGAGGACUCAGGAAGCUUCCACUCAUGGCUGAAGGCAAAGGGGAAGCCAGCAUCACAUGGCAAGAGAGGGAGCAAGACAGAGGAGGGGGUGCCAGGCUCCUCUAAACAACCAGAUCUCGUAUGGACUCACAGUGAGAACUCACUCAUUACUUCAAGGACAGCACCAUGACAUUCAUGAGGGGUGCGCCCACAUGACCCAAACACCUCCCACUAGGCCCCACCUCCAACAUUGGAGGUCACAUUUCAACAUGAGAUUUGGAGGUGGCAAAACAUGCAAACCAUAUCAGGGAGGGAGGGGCAGGGUGGUGGAUACAGCUGCACAGACUGGGAAAUGGGCCAGAAGCAGCUUUCCGGCUUGUGUAGGUGCUAGGAAAGACAGGCUGGUAAGAUACAGAAUGCCUUUCGGUCUCCAAGCGUCCAGCUCGGUCUAGAUAAGAUCUGCAUAUAAGGUCAUCUUAUCAGAAGGGUUCUUUGGGUUCUGGAAGCCACACUCUGCCCCUCCACUUUCACAUCUGGAAUAUCAGGACAAUAUUUGACAUGUAGCAUACAUCGGUUCUGGAGCCUAGGAAAUUCCCACCUACCUUCUUCCACCCACUACACUCCUUUCUGUUCCUCCUGAUGCUAGGCUUGUUCCCGCCUCCAAGUCUUCACACUGCUAGCCAUUACUUAUGCCUGGAAUGCUCUCCCCUGGUGUCUAACCUGCCUGAUGCCUCCUCAUCCUUCAGGACUGAGUUAAAUGUCCCCACCUCAGAGAAGCCUUCGCUGACUGCCUUUGCUCCUCCUGGGCCUGGUUGCCCCUAGAUCCACUCUCUGCCCCCCAACACUUAGUUCUAUCCUGCAGGAGCACUGGCUUCCAGCGGAGAGCAGCUGCUGGGGACCACUGACAGGAGACUGGGCAGACAAGGAAAAAGCCCUCUCCUCUCUGUCCCAGGUGGCUUCUUAGGUAGUGGCUAUGUCUUCGUGGUUCCAGCUUCUGCAGAGUGGCGUCCGAACCUGGCUUGGGAAAUACCGCUUUUCCUUUUGCCCCUCCGGCCCAGGCAUGAUUGCAGCAAUUCAGUCACUUGUCCGGGUUCCACUCCUAAUUCUAGUUCUUUUGCUAUUUUCACCACAUCUGCAGUGACUUCUCCCACUGAAGUCUUUAACACUUCAAAGGCAUCCUUGAGGGUUAAAGUCAACUUCUUUCAAACUCCUGUUAAUCUUGAUAUUUUGACCUCUUCCCUGGAAUCACAAAUGUCCUUAGCGGCACAAGAAUGGUGACUCCUUUCUAGAAUGUUUCCAAUUUGCUUUGCCCAGAUCCAUCAGACGAUCUCUCUGUAGCAGCUAUAGCCUUACAAAUUGUAUUUCUUAAAUAAUAAGACUUGAAAGUUGAAAUGACUCCUUAAUCUAUGGGCUGCAGAAUGGAUGCUGUGUUAGCAGGCAUGAAAACAACUUAAUCUCUUUGUACAUCUCCAUCAGGGCUCUUGAGUAACCAGGUGCAUUGUCAAUGAGCUGUAAUAUUUUAAGGGAAUCUUUUUUUUUCUGAGUAGUAGGUCUCAACAGUGGACAUAAAAUAUUCAGUCAACCAUGCUGUAAACAGAUGUGCUGUCAUCAGGCUUUGUUGUUGCAUUUAUACAGCAUAGGCAGAGUAUAUUUAGCAUAAUUCUUAAGGGCGUAGGAUUUUUGGAAUAAUAAACUAGCAUUGGCUUCCACUUAAAGUCACCAACUACAUUAGCCCCUAACAAGAGGGUCAUUUAGUUAUUUGAAGCUUUGAAGCCAGGCAUUGACUUCUCUCUAGUGAUGAAAGUUCUAGAUAACAUCCUGUUCCAAUACAAGGCUGUUUUGCCUACACUGAAAAUCUAUUGUUUAGUGUAGCAACCUUCAUCAAUGAUCUUAGCUAGAUCUUCUGGAUGACGUGCUGCAACUUUUAUAUCAGCAUUUACUGCUUCACUUGCCCUUUUAAGUUAUGCAGAUGGUUUCUUUCAUUAAACCUCAUGAACCAACCCCUGCUAGCUUCCAACUUUUCUUCUGAAGCUUCCUCACCUCUCUCAGUCUUCAUAGAAUUGACGAGAGUUAGGGCAUUGCUCUGGAUUAAGCUUUGGCUCAAGGGAAUGCUGUGGUUAAUUUGAUCUUCUAUCCAGACCACUCAAACUUUCUCCAUAUCAGCAAUAAGGCUGUUUUGCCUUCUUACCACUUAUGUGUUCACCGGAGUAGCACUUUCAAUUUCCUUCAAGAACUUUUCCUUUGCAUUCUCAACUUGGCUAACUGGUGUGAGGGACCUAGCUUUCAGCCUCUCUUGGCUUUCGAUAGGUCUUCCUCGCUAAGCUUAAUCAAUUCUAGCUUUUGAUUUAAAAUGAGAGACAUGCAAUUCCUCCUUUCAUUUGAACACAUAGGGGCCAUUGUAGGGUUAUUAAUUGACCUAAUUUCAAUAUUGUUGUAUCUUUGGGAACAGGGAGGCCUCAGGAUGAGAGUGAUGGGGGAAUAGCUGGUCAGUGGAGCAGUCAGAACACACACAGUAUUUAUUAAGUUUGCCAUCUUGUAUGGGUGUGGUUUAUGGCACCCCCAAACUUUUACAAUAGUAACAUCCAAGAUCACUGAUUAUAGAUCACCAACACAGACAUAAUAACAAUUUUAAAAAAGGGGUUUUUUUCUGAAAUGGAGUCUCGCUCUGUCGCCCAUGCUGGAGUGCAGUGGUGUGAUCUUGGCUGACUGCAACCUCUGCCUCCUGGGUUCAAGAGAUUCUUGUGCCUCAGCCUCCUGAGUAGCUGGGAUUACAGGCGCCCACCACCACACUCGGCUAAUUUUUGUAUUUUUAAUAGAGAAAUGGCCUCGAACUCCUGACCUCAAGUGAUCCACCUGCCUCGGCCUCCCAAAGUGUUGGAAUUACAGGCAUGAGCCACUGCACCUGGCCAAUAAUAAAAAUGUUUGAAGU
This 3593-nucleotide small RNA is filed under the name Pan troglodytes (chimpanzee). RNAcentral describes it as "processed transcript". The record is from RNAcentral. Lineage: Eukaryota; Metazoa; Chordata; Mammalia; Primates; Hominidae.